This 83-nucleotide non-coding RNA is filed under the name unclassified sequences. RNAcentral describes it as "skipping-rope RNA". It matches the Rfam family "skipping-rope RNA". From Rfam's summary of the family: Firmicutes, Fusobacteria, AlphaProteobacteria, Spirochaetes. Downstream gene The record is from Rfam by way of RNAcentral.
AAUUAUUGACGACCGGAAAUGGUUCCCGGCACACUUGUUUUACAAGUAUCUGGCAUGAUGGAUACACCGCCCAUUCAAUAAUU